AACGCGAAGAACCUUACCUAGGCUUGACAUGCACGAGCAAGCUCUCAGAAACGAGAGCCCCUCUUCGGAGAUCGUGCACAGGUGCUGCAUGGCUGUCGUCAGCUCGUGUCGUGAGAUGUUGGGUUAAGUCCCGCAACGAGCGCAACCCUUGUCCCUAGUUGCUACGCAAGGGCACUCUAGGGAGACUGCCGGUGACAAACCGGAGGAAGGUGGGGAUGACGUCAAGUCCUCAUGGCCCUUAUGGGUAGGGCUUCACACGUCAUACAAUGGCCGGUACAGAGGGUUGCCAAAGCGCGAGCUGGAGCCAAUCCCAGAAAGCCGGUCGUAGUCCGGAUUGCAGUCUGCAACUCGACUGCAUGAAGUCGGAAUCGCUAGUAAUCGCGGAUCAGCAUGUCGCGGUGAAUACGUUCCCGGGCCUUGUACACACCGGUAUCUC
RNAcentral lists this ribosomal RNA (436 nucleotides) under uncultured bacterium. RNAcentral describes it as "bacterial SSU rRNA". It matches the Rfam family "Bacterial small subunit ribosomal RNA", at positions 958 to 1400 of the family's 1533-position model. The record is from RNAcentral.